This 366-nucleotide long non-coding RNA is filed under the name Sorghum bicolor (sorghum). Its description in RNAcentral is "long non-coding RNA (SBIC_LNC004012)". The record is from RNAcentral. Lineage: Eukaryota; Viridiplantae; Streptophyta; Magnoliopsida; Poales; Poaceae.
UCAAGAGGAUUUACUUUUCAUGGAAUCUCUUGUCCGAUACAAACUCGUUCUGAUUAUGAUGGUAGUUGAACGACAUCCAUAUUGAGGAUGAUUAACAAUAAUCGGUGUAUGCAUCACGAGGCAAACUUGUAAUUACCUUUAUCUCAGAUUCAUGCAAGUAGUACUUAAGGAUUACUACUAAACGAUUGCAGACAAGUACUACCCGAUGAUUACUACUAAUUUGAUUUGUGGCAUCACACGACGAUUUACUACUAAAUGAGAGUAAACAAUUACGUAUAAGUACUACAUGAAGAUUACUACCAAUUUUUGUGGCUUCGAAUGAUGACUAUUACUACUUGUACUAUAAACCGGGAUACCCAAACCAGG